UUUACAGAAAGAUGGAAAACCUGGUCGGAUUUUUGGGGUCCCAUUCUGUAUUUUUCCCCCAGAUUCCCUGACCCCCUAAACAGAUUUUCUAAAAGUUGCACGUUUUCACUCCUUGUGCUAUGAAAUCCUCUGGGUUUUGAUAAAUGGCUAGGUUCCCACACUCACCAGGGCGGUACGUGCAGAAUCCUCUCUCCAUUGUGCAGCAUCCCGCACACGAGCCACACACUCACCUUCAGUGCUGUCUCCUCCCCAAACUGCCAGCAACUCCUCUGUUCCCAGAAUGUGGUCGGAGGGGACCCCAAGGUCUUGGUGUUUCAAGCUGGCUUUUUUCACUUAGAAACUCACAUUUCAUCCGGGCUGUUGUGCGGGAUGAUGCGCUGAACGGUACACAACACAAACGCCCACCGAGGGUCUGUACCGAGGCUUGUUUAUUCUCCAUCUGCUGCGGGACAUCUUGGCUGUUUCGGCUUUUGACAACUGUGGACCAAGCUCUGAAAUCGCCAACUGCUUUCUGCCACGGCCGCUGCGCUCUCGUCCUCAUCGUCUACGACCUGAGUUCUUUUGAAAGAACUGGCGCCACGUCCUCACCCGAGGUCGACGCUAUUCGUUCUUUUGCGUUUUAACCAUUUAAAUACAUGUGAUGGUAUUUCGUUCUGGUUUUCAUGUUCAGUUUCCUAAUGAAAACUGAUGUUGGA
Molecule: long non-coding RNA, 695 nt
Organism: Phacochoerus africanus (Common warthog)
Lineage: Eukaryota; Metazoa; Chordata; Mammalia; Artiodactyla; Suidae
Exons: 2
Source: RefSeq, a predicted model, not a curated record